Molecule: ribosomal RNA, 508 nt
Filed under: uncultured bacterium
Lineage: Bacteria
Description: bacterial SSU rRNA
Rfam family: Bacterial small subunit ribosomal RNA
Source: RNAcentral
AGCGAACGUUAGCGGCGGGCCUAACACAUGCAAGUCGAACGCGAAAGGUCUUCGGACUGAGUAGAGUGGCGCACGGGUGAGUAACACGUAGGUAAUCUACCCUUUGGCGGGGGAUAACGUUCCGAAAGGAGCGCUAAUACCGCAUAAGACCACGGAGUCUCCGGACGCUGUGGGAAAAGGUGGCCUCUUCUUGAAAGCUACCACCGAAGGAUGAGCCUGCGUCCCAUCAGCUAGUUGGUAAGGUAAUGGCUUACCAAGGCGAAGACGGGUAGCUGGUUUGAGAGAAUGAUCAGCCACACUGGCACUGGAACACGGGCCAGACUCCUACGGGAGGCAGCAGUGAGGAAUAUUGGGCAAUGGGCGAAAGCCUGACCCAGCCACGCCGCGUGAGUGAUGAAGGCCCUCGGGUCGUAAAGCUCUGUGGAGAGGGACGAAAACCCUGGUUUCGAAAUAGGCUCCAGGCUUGACGGUACCUCUUUAGCAAGCACCGGCUAACUCUGUGCCAGCA